CAAUGCUGAUGAGACCGAACCAGGUCGAAACAGCUGUCCAGUGC
Molecule: non-coding RNA, 44 nt
Filed under: Echinostoma caproni
Lineage: Eukaryota; Metazoa; Platyhelminthes; Trematoda; Plagiorchiida; Echinostomatidae
Source: RNAcentral